Long non-coding RNA from Mustela erminea (ermine), 164 nucleotides. RefSeq lists it as uncharacterized. Lineage: Eukaryota; Metazoa; Chordata; Mammalia; Carnivora; Mustelidae. The transcript has 3 exons. The record is from RefSeq and is a predicted model, not a curated record.
CAGGCUCCCUGAGGUGUUGACCUCUUUUUAUUGAUUUUGAGGGGGGUUCCUUGUACCUCCUGGACUUGGAUGCCUGUUUCUUCUCCCAGAUUAGGGAAGAGCUCCACUAUAAUUUGCUCCAAUAUACCUUCUGCUCCUCUCUCCCUCUGUUUCCUCUUCUUCUG